Long non-coding RNA from Neomonachus schauinslandi (Hawaiian monk seal), 232 nucleotides. RefSeq lists it as uncharacterized. NCBI's taxonomy places the organism in Eukaryota, Metazoa, Chordata, Mammalia, Carnivora, Phocidae. The transcript is spliced from 3 exons. The record is from RefSeq and is a predicted model, not a curated record.
UGUCUAUUAACCUAGGACUGAGUGAUGCAACAGAAGAAAUCUGGAAAACACCUCCAGGACUUGGGAGCCACGAAUUGAAAAUUGAAGAAUUUGGAGCUGAGGAGCCUGAGGCCCAAAGCAGACUGGAUAAAUGAGAAGACUUCCACCUAUGACAUUCUCCGAUGCAUGGUUCAGAGGGGAAGAAGUGUAAAUUAUCUGGUCCAUCCUCUGACCUGAAGACUACAACUUCGAU